RNAcentral lists this ribosomal RNA (466 nucleotides) under uncultured bacterium. RNAcentral's name for it is "bacterial SSU rRNA". It matches the Rfam family "Bacterial small subunit ribosomal RNA", at positions 198 to 645 of the family's 1533-position model. The record is from RNAcentral.
GGAGGAAAGUAGGGGAUCGUAAGACCUUGUGCUUUUGGAGCGGCCGAUGCCUGAUUAGCUAGUUGGUAAGGUAAAGGCUUACCAAGGCUUCGACCAGUAGUUGGUCUGAGAGGACGACCAGCCACACUGGGACUGAGACACGGCCCAGACUCCUACGGGAGGCAGCAGUGGGGAAUUUUGGACAAUGGGGGAAACCCUGUUCCAGCCAUGCCGCGUGAGUGAAGAAGGCCUUCGGGUUGUAAAGCUCUUUCAGUUGAGAAGAAAAGAUUACGACUAAUAAUCGUGAUUCAUGACGGUAUCAACAGAAGAAGCACCGGCUAGCUACGUGCCAGCAGCCGCGGUAAUACGUAGGGUGCGAGCGUUAAUCGGAAUUACUGGGCGUAAAGGGUGCGCAGGCGGUUCUGUAAGUCAGAUGUGAAAUCCCCGGGCUUAACCUGGGAACUGCGUUUGAAACUACAAAGCUAGA